This 120-nucleotide small nucleolar RNA is filed under the name Echinops telfairi (small Madagascar hedgehog). RNAcentral describes it as "Small nucleolar RNA SNORA61 (ENSETEG00000025020.1)". Lineage: Eukaryota; Metazoa; Chordata; Mammalia; Afrosoricida; Tenrecidae. The record is from RNAcentral.
UCCCUCUAGAUCCCUCCCCCCUCAGAUUUAAAUAUUGCUCCCGUGGCUGAAAAAGGAGGAAAAGUAAAAGUGAAAUGGACUUGGAAUCUUUAUUGACAUAGAAAUUCACUUCAAAGCUAU